UCUGUGCUUAGACAAGAUUAUAGUCUUGCU
RNAcentral lists this non-coding RNA (30 nucleotides) under Homo sapiens (human). Lineage: Eukaryota; Metazoa; Chordata; Mammalia; Primates; Hominidae. The record is from RNAcentral.